GGACUACAUGGAGAAACCCUGUCUUGAAAAACCAAACAAACAAACAAACAAACAAAAAAAUAGUGAAAGAAGCAAUCUACCUCUGCUUGUCAGCAGUAAAGAGUGGAUUGUGUCAUGAAUAGGGCAUGUUCUACCUAGACUCCCAUUCACUAUAUCAGCUUUAGGGAUUCUAUUAGGAGGAAAUGGGCCAGUCUGCAGCACUGAAACCUUUGUGAGGCUCCAUGGAACUGAACCGCUCACAAGCCCGUGUCAAAUGAAAGAAGCCAGCCUUGGAGUUCUCUGGUCAAUAGACAGCUAGCUCUCUCUGUGCCUGGAAGCAGAGGAUGAUCUCAGAAGUCUGAGAUGUCUCCCAAGUUCUCUGCCGCUGCUUGGCCUUCUUAGCCUUUUCAGAAUCAGCCUUUCUGUUUAAGGGGGUAGAAAGGGACAGGGGAGAAAAGGUCCCCCAGAGCAGGCUCUUGUGGGGGAGGUGGGAGCUGACUGAAUGCUGACGGGCCCUUUGCUUUGUACCUUUCCUGCUGUGUCCAACAGAAGUGCUGCUCAGCUGCCUGGUUAGCCCCAUUGUCCUCUCCACAAUGUGCUGAGUCCAAGGGCUUCCCUGGCCCCAUGGCCUCACUCCGCUACCCCUGGGCCCAAAGACAAGGCCAGGGGACAAACUACCCAUCAAAUUCAGUGGAGUACCAACCGUCCAUGGCAUGUGGCCAGUGUCAAGAGGUCCAAGUUUUAAACUGUUCAACUUACACUCUGGAGGGGGAAGGUUGUCAGAUUCCCCUAAGUCUGUCAAGGAGUCCAAGUUUUAAACUGCCUGGAUUACAUUUUGUAGGGUCAGGGUUGUCAUAUUCCCCUGUCAGUCAUCACCCCUACAUCUAAUAGCUCAUCUCCCUGGACAGUUGUCCUACUUGCUUGUGUGGGCUAAGAAAAUGUUUCCCAAUCCAUGUCUCUUAUAGAGCUGCACAAAACAAGCCUGACAAAGUGCUGGUGAUGGAGCAUGUUCAAGUCUCUUGUGCUCCAUUCUCAGUACACAUGCACACAUACAUAGAUAUACAAACACAUAGUGAGGCGUGAAGGGGAAGAUUGGUUGAAGACACGGUGGGGGAUAAUAGAAUGCACUACAAAUAAUAAAGACAACUACUAGAAAAUGAAAACUGAAUAAAUGUGGUCAAAGAAAACGUU
Cricetulus griseus (Chinese hamster) is the source of this 1170-nucleotide non-coding RNA. Lineage: Eukaryota; Metazoa; Chordata; Mammalia; Rodentia; Cricetidae. The record is from RefSeq and is a predicted model, not a curated record.